This 3332-nucleotide long non-coding RNA is filed under the name Mytilus galloprovincialis (Mediterranean mussel). Lineage: Eukaryota; Metazoa; Mollusca; Bivalvia; Mytilida; Mytilidae. The record is from RNAcentral.
GCAUUAUUUAUACAAGUCAUGUCUUUUUGGACAUACUGUAUAUGAUCAAGAUUGUAGCAUUCAUUGAGUAAUGAUUUAGUAACACUUGAAAAGUUGUCUACUCUAUUGACAGUAUUUUAAUGUAAAACUUGAAAUAAUUUAAUGAGUCAUUUUUUUCUUAAUGGUUUAAGGGUGAAAAUCAGUGGUGGAUCCAUAGGGGUUCCGGGGGUUGGAACCCCCCCCCCCCUUUUGUUAGCUCACCUGGCCCAAAGGGCCAAGUGAGCUUUUCUCAUCACUUGGCGUCCGGCGUCGUCGUCCGUCGUUAACUUUUACAGAAAUCUUCUCCUCUGAAACUACUGAGCCAAAUUAAACCAAACUUGGCCACAAUCAUCAUUGGGGUAUCUAGUUUAAAAUUGUGUCCGGUGACCCGGUCAACCAACCAAGAUGGCCGCCAUGGCUAAAAAUAGAACAUAGGGGUAAAAUGCAGUUUUUGGCUUAUAACUCAGAAACCAAAGCAUUUAAAGCAAAUCUGACAUGGGGGUUAAAUUGUUUGUCAGGUCAAAAUCUAUCUGCCCUGAAAAUUUCCGAUGAAUCGGUCAACCCGUUGUAGGGUUGCUGCCCCUGAAUUGGUAAUUUGAAGGAAAUUUUGCUGUUUUUGAUUAUUAUCUUGAAUAAUAUUAUAGAUAGAGAUAAACAGUGAACAGCCAUUAUAUUCAGCAAAGUAAGAUUUACAAAUAAGUCUAACUACCGAAAUGGUCAGUUGACCCCUUUAGGAGUUAUUGCCCUUUAUAGUCAAUUUUUAACCCUUUUUUGUAAAUCUGAGUAAUCCUUUACAAAAAUCUUCUCCUCUGAAACUACUGGGCCAAAUUAAACCAAACUUGGCCACAAUCAUCAUUGGGGUAUCUAGUUUAAAAAUUGUGUCCAGUGACCCGGUCAACCAACCAAGAUGGCCGCCAUGGCUAAAAAUAGAUAAUAGGGGUAAAAUGCAGUUUUUGGCUUAUAACUCAAAAACCAAAGCAUUAAGAGCAAAUCUGACAUGGAGUUAAAUUGUUUAUCAGGUCAAGAUCUAUCUGCCUUGAAAAUUUCAGAUGAAUCGAACAAUCCGUUGUAGGUUUGCUGCCCCUGAAUUGGUAAUUUUAAGGAAAUUUUGCUGUUUUUGGUUAUUAUCUUGAAUAAUAUUAUAGAUAGAGAUAAACAGUGAACAGUCAUUAUAUUCAGCAAAGUAAGAUUUACAAAUAAGUCAACACGACUGAAAUUGUCAGUUGACCCCUUUGGAGUAAUUGCCCUUUAUAGUCAAUUUUUAACCAUUUUUCGUAAAUCUUAGUAAUCUUUUACAAAAAUUUUCUCCUCUGAAACUACUGGGCCAAAUUAAACCAAACUUGGCCACAAUCAUCAUUGGGGUAUCUAGUUUAAAAAUUGUGUCCAAUGACCCGGUCAACUAACCAAGAUGGCCGCCAUGGCUAAAAAUAGAUAAUAGGGGUAAAAUGCAGUUUUUGGCUUAUAACUCAAAAACCAAAGCAUAAAGAGCAAAUCUGACAGGAGUUAAAUUGUUUAUCAGGUCAAGAUCUAUCCGCCUUGAAAAUUUCAGAUGAAUCGAACAACCCGUUGUAGGGUUGCCGCCCCUGAAUUGGUAAUUUGAAGGAAAUUUUGCUGUUUUUGGUUAUUAUCUUGAAUAAUAUUAUAGAUAGAGAUAAACAGUGAACAGCCAUUAUAUUCAGCAAAGUAAGAUUUACAAAUAAGUCAACACGACUGAAAUUGUCAGUUGACCCCUUUGGAGUAAUUGCCCUUUAUAGUCAAUUUUUAACCAUUUUUCGUAAAUCUUAGUAAUCUUUUACAAAAAUCUUCUCCUCUGAAACUACUGGGCCAAAUUAAACCAAACUUGGCCACAAUCAUCAUUGGGGUGUCUAGUUUAAAAAUUGUGUCCGGUGACCCGGUCAACCAACCAAGAUGGCCGCCAUGGCUAAAAAUAGAUAAUAGGGGUAAAAUGCAGUUUUUGGCUUAUAACUAAAAAAUUCCAGCAUUUAGAGAAAAUCUGAAAUGGGGUUCAAUUGUUUAUCAGGUCAAGAUCUAUCUGCCCUGAAAAUUUCAGAUGAAUCGAACAACCAGUUGUUGGGUUACUGCCUCUGAAUUGGUAAUUUUAAGGAAAUUUUGCUGUUUUUGGUUAUAAUCUUGAAUAAUAUUAUAGAUAGAGAUAAACAGUGAACAGCAAUAAUGUUCAGCAAAGUAAGAUUUACAAAUAAGUCAACACGACCGAUAUGGUCAGUUGACCCCUUUAGGAGUGAUUGCCCUUUAUAGUAAAUUUUUUACAUUUUUCAUAAAUUUUUGUAGAUUUUUAGAAAAUAUUUUCCACUGUAAUUACUGGGCCAAGUUCAUUAUAGAUAGAGAUAAUUGUAGCAACAAGAAUGUUCGGUAAAGUAAGAUCUAUAAACACAUCACCAUCAUCAAAACACAAUUUUGUUAUGAAUUUAUCUGUGUCCAUUUUUUAAUAUGCACAUAGACCAAGGUGAGCGACACAGGCUCUUGAGAGCCUCUAGUUUGGCUGAUCAAUGCAUUUGAAUGGGGAUAUAUAGUUGGAACCCCCUUUUUUUUGGCUGAUCAAUGCAUUUGAAUGGGGACAUAUGUGUUGGAACCCCCCCCCUUUAUCCUGGGUUGGACCCCCCCCCCUUUUUAAAAUGGCUGGAUCCGCCCCUGAAAAUUUUACCUUUAAAACAAAUUGAAAUAGAUAUUAUAAUCAUGAGUUUAUAACAUUUUCGAAAAAACACUGUCAAUAAAGAAAAAAACUCAUUACAGUAACAAUGCAAUGUACAAUGCUAUCUCUUUCCUUAUUUAAUUAAAUACGGCUUCUAGUUCUAUUUUUUAGAUCUCUUUAUUGUAUAUUUGUAUAUGUAAUCUGUUAUCUGAUAGUUGCAUUAUGUGUAAGGUUUUCUAUAUUCUUCCAAUACAUUCAGCAGAAGAGCAUGAGGCUAUUUUAUUAUUAUGAGUUGGUAUUCGACACUUAUGUAUGGUGCAGUCGGAAAGUAAAGCCAAAGAUUAUUCUUUCUUUUAAAACAAUAUGCUAGUAAUCAUGGUUUCCAAUGAUGUGUUUAGAAAGGGUAUCACUAUACAAAUCCCUGUGGUUCUGUGAAAGUAAAAAAACAACAACACCAACUCCACCUCCACCUCCAAGGAAAAAUUAUAACGAAAAGUUCCUUAUCGAAUGGCAAAUCAAAGCUCAAGCACAUCAAGCGAAUGGACAACGUUUCUAUUGUGGACAUUCUGGACAGAAAUGGUUUGAAUGGUUAUGUUUUUAGAAAUAUCUAUUCGAACUUUCAUAAAGACAGGUGAGUUCAAUAUCAUAUUUGUUAAAAUGAAGC